RNAcentral lists this unclassified non-coding RNA (442 nucleotides) under Hevea brasiliensis (rubber tree). The record is from RNAcentral. Lineage: Eukaryota; Viridiplantae; Streptophyta; Magnoliopsida; Malpighiales; Euphorbiaceae.
GGAGUAUGAAAUUUAUAAGGCUGCUAACACUAUUCGGGGCUAUGAGAAGAUUGGUUUAUUGAGUUCUGAGAAGAGAAUUCCAGAAGCUAUUCUACAAAAUGCAAGAGGCCUUGCCAUUCUUACGGUCGUGAAAGUUGGAGUGAUGGUAACCUACAACAUCGGAACUGGAUUGGUAAUUGCACGUAGAGAAGAUGGUUCAUGGUCUCCCCCGUCGGCCAUUUCUUCUUUCGGUGUAGGAUGGGGUGCUCAGGUUGGUGGAGAACUUACUGACUUCAUUAUUGUCCUGAGAACUAGUGAUGCUGUCAAGACUUUUGGUGGUGAUGCACAUCUUUCAGUUGGAGCUGGUGUGAGUGCUGCUGCGGGGAUCAUUGGACGAACUGCUGAAGCUGAUCUUCGUGCCGGUACUGCUGGUUAUGCCGCUUGUUAUACAUACAGCUGCAGU